Molecule: ribosomal RNA, 433 nt
Filed under: uncultured bacterium
Lineage: Bacteria
Description: partial 16S ribosomal RNA
Rfam family: Bacterial small subunit ribosomal RNA
Source: RNAcentral
AGCGAACGCUGGCGGCAGGCCUAACACAUGCAAGUCGAACGAACUCUUCGGAGUUAGUGGCGGACGGGUGGGUAACACGUGGGAACGUGCCUUUUGGUUCGGAAUAACUCAGGGAAACUUGCGCUAAUACCGAAUGUGCCCUUCGGGGGAAAGAUUUAUCGCCAUUAGAGCGGCCCGCGUCUGAUUAGCUAGUUGGUGAGGUAACGGCUCACCAAGGCGACGAUCAGUAGCUGGUCUGAGAGGAUGACCAGCCACACUGGGACUGAGACACGGCCCAGACUCCUACGGGAGGCAGCAGUGGGGAAUCUUGCGCAAUGGGCGAAAGCCUGACGCAGCCAUGCCGCGUGAAUGAUGAAGGUCUUAGGAUUGUAAAAUUCUUUCACCGGGGACGAUAAUGACGGUACCCGGAGAAGAAGCCCCGGCUAACUUCGUG